UGGCUUUGAACUAUGAUUCUCACAUCUCAGCCUCAUGAAUAGCUAGGAUUACAGGUGUGAGUAACCAGCACCUGGUUUUAGGCUCCUUUUCACUCUUUUCUUGGAUAAUAGAUGUUUCCUCAGAUAUAGUUAAUAGUGGAGAAAAGAGGUAUAGAAUCUAAGCCAAAAGUCCUAGCUGCAUAGUCUGCCCCCUGAAAUCUCCCAAUCCUUUCUUAAUAAGCAGGACCCUGAGCAGAAAUCAGGUAACUGCAGGAACUCAGUGAGAGUGCUACUUCAGAUAAUUUCCGAGUUCUAGAUCUUGAAUGCUCUUAAGUCCAGUGUCCUGUGGCUAUUAACAUGGAGGUUCAUAAAGGAACCAAAUCAUAUUCAUUUCACUUAAACAAACAUAGCUAUAAAUAACCUUUUAUUCCCAAAUAAAAAAGGUAGUGGGAUUUGCUAGAAAACAUCAAUAUUUAAUGAAGGCAUCAAACAAGUUAAAGAAGAGACCAGGUAUGUUUCUCAGGUUCUAUGGUUUUUGAGCAGGUCACAAAGUGUCAAAUUCUAUCACUCUAUAAAAAUAAUCUCUGUUGUCCAGUGAAAUCUCAGAAAAUUCUCCACAGGUAAGAAAGGAAUCCAUAGAGAGGAAACAGAAAUGGAGCAAGCCUGUCCUGGUCAACAAUUAACUUCUACUAAUAAAAAAGGGAAAAAAAUACUCUACCUGAUCUUUAGUCUUUAAUUACUAACAUGAGUAGUUAUCCAAGCAAUUUUUCAAGGUCUACCAGAACAGGUAGCACAGACAGGCAAGUGAAUUUCUUAUCAAAGAAAUGAUGUCCAGACAGAGAGAGAAAUGAGAAGAAUAUGGACCAGAAGGUAAAAGAUACUUGGAGAGGCAGGGAGGUAGCAGUGAAAAUCUAGAAGUAAAUUCACUCAAAGCUGAAGGAGUUGCUAACUAUCACAUUUGACAAGCUCUACCAUCCAAAGCUGAUGCAGUUUUCAGCUGAAUUAUUGGAAAGCAGAUCUUUCUCCUCUUUCUGUAAUUAGCCUAAAGAUUUCUCCAGGGACCAGGCAGGUUCCUACCUUGCUUUAAGAUCAGAUCUCAAGGGAGAAUAAUGGCCUCCAGGCUGGGAGCUCCAGGCUCAUAGUAAGCUUAUCCUAAAAUGGUUUUGGAAUCGACAAUAAUAUGUUUGCUCUUUCUUUUUUUUUCUGGAGCCUACAUACUAGGGAAACAAAUUAGUUUGCAACAACUCAGGUUUGGAUUAGAAUGCCCUAGGGUGUUGUAUAAAAUCCUAUACAACUAAGUAGGUAGCUUGGGCAUCAAUAGAAUAGACUGUUGAAGGAUUUGCAUCUUUUAUUUUUCAAUGGAGGUUCUGAAAUCAAAUAUUUGAUGUUAUCUUUUAAGAAGAAGAUGUAAUGCCCAGCACCUGUAAGAGAGCAUUCCUACUCUCAGAAAAUGGAAUGAGAAAGAGAAGUAUGGAAAUCUUGCAGAUUUUCCUUUGAGCGCUAUAGUUUUAGGCACGUAAUCACAGAGCCCAAAUAAAAACAGCAGCUAUAAGAGGAAAAACACUCACUGCACAGGCACUCCCAGAGGCCCUUUUGAGUCAACAUUCCUGUCCCAGAGGCCAUCACUUUGUUCCAAACCAUAUUACUGAAUAUGAUUUGUUCUCUUUGAAACUCGUGUUGAAAUGUGAUUGCUGCAGUGGUGCAGAGGUUGGGAAGUGGGUCCAAUAAGAGCUACAUCUCUAAAGGAUGAUUGGAUGGCUUUUUCCCCAGUGACUUAUCACCUUCACAGACUGGAUUAGCUACUGUAAGAACAGGUUUGUUAUAAAUCAAGUCUGGUCCUUGUGUUUUGCUUCUUCUGCAUGUACAUGCUUGCCCUCUGAUUUCUCAUUGUGACUUGAAGCAGCAUGCGGCUCUCACCAGCACCAAGCUUUUGGACUUUCCUGUUUCCAGAACUGUGAGCUCAGAUAAACUUCCUUCAUUAUAAAUUACUUGGUGUCAAGUUUUUGUUCUAGCAACAGAAAACCAGCUAUGACAAAAAUGAGAGAGUAGUUCUAUGCAAUACUGCAAUUAGACAGGAGAAGAUAAAAAGCCUCAUUAUGGCCUCUAUCUGGCCUUGAUCUUUCUAAUCUUCUAGACAAGAAUUCAUAUCUGCUGACAGCCAUUCCUUUUAUGGCCUCGCAUAGAAUCUCUUCCCACCCCAAUCCCAACUCUCUGUUUAAGACUCAAGGCAUGUUGCAGCUUUCCUGCAGUAUUUACUAUAUUUAGGUUCAUGUUAGUGAUAUUUGUGCAUGAAUCCCUGCCAAGUGACUGAAAAGACAAGUCACAGAUUUGACUCUCUUUCCAGUACCUUCCAUAUUUGUUAAAUUGGAGUUGAGCUCCCAAUUGCUGAAUGAACAUAUUUUCCCUAAGGUAAGACAAUGCUUUUUAUCUUACCUGCCAAUUCUGUUUGAUUAACAACAGUGGGUGCCUAAAAUAUAGCUGCAAGAAUAGAGCCAUAAUAGAGCUCAAGUAGCAAGGAGUGUUAUAAUCAAUUAAUGAUGUCUGUCAUAGGCAGGACUGGGAGUGGCAAUGUGAAUUAUUUGUGAAUACGAAGCAAGAGUUAUGAGAGUAUACAGAAGGGAUGUUUUCUCCCACCAAGCAGAGAAGUCGAUAUGACAAAAGUCAGAAUUAGAUGCCUCUUCAAGGUUGAGCAGAUAAUUGUGGACAAAAUAUCUGAGUACCAAUACAGAAAAGUAAAUCCAUUAGGUGAAAGCAAGUACUAGAACAAUUUAACUAAAACAUAAGCUCAAAUAGAAGGUUUAUGUAGGAGAAUGGACUAACCAAUGAGGACAAGUUAAGGGACAUUAAA
Molecule: long non-coding RNA, 2827 nt
Organism: Perognathus longimembris pacificus (Pacific pocket mouse)
Lineage: Eukaryota; Metazoa; Chordata; Mammalia; Rodentia; Heteromyidae
Exons: 3
Source: RefSeq, a predicted model, not a curated record